AGCUCUCUCAGCCUGUCCUCACAGCAUCUCGGUGGCCUCCUCUGGCCCUGCUCCAACGGGUCCAUGUCCUUCUGCUGUUGGUGGCCCCAGAGCUGGAGGCAGCACUUGGUGGGGGGGAUCUCCCCAGAGCAAAGCAGAGGGGGAGAAUCCCCUCCCUCAACCUUCUGGCCACUCUUCUUCUGAUGCAGCCCAAGAUGCGGGAGGCUUUCUCAGCUACCAGCACACACUGCUGGGCCACGUGGAGCUUUUCACCCCCCAACACUCCCAAGUCCUUCUCCUCGGGGCUGGUCUCCAUCCCUUCACCCCCCAGCCUGGAUUUGUGCUCAGGAUUGCCCUGACCCACCUGCAGGACCUUGCUCUUGGCCUGGUUGAACUUCCUGAGAUUCACAUGAGGUUCACCUCAAGCCUGUCCGGGUCCUUCUGGAUGCCAUCCCGUCCCUCCAGCAUGUUGACCCCCCUCUACUUCUUGAGGUGGGGUGGAACACAGAGGACACUCUUUCUCCCUGACAGGACCUGGCUGAGGUGUGCAAGCGGGACGGCGCCGAGCGGGACGGGAAGGACGUGGACCGGGUGGUGGGCUUGGGCAGCUCCAGCGGCAGCGCCGGCCGGGUGAUGCUCUCCAAGGAGGACAAGGAGGCGGCCAAGAUGGGGCUCUCCAUCUUCACGGUACGGCGCCGGCGUGGGGUCACGUCUCCUCUGUGAGGUUUGAAAAAAAAAAAAAGGAUGGAAAAAAGGCAAAAAUCCCUUUAAUUAAAAAGCAAAGCAGGUGGUGGUAGCGCAGAGACCUCCAAGAGCUCCCAGUGUCCUGCCUGCGCAGCGUUAAUUUGCGGGGUUUUAAUUAGGAAUCAGCUCUUGCAGGUAUUUAGACAUUUUUCCAAAUGUAAUUUCGAUGUCAGGUGGGGUGGUUUUUUUCACAAUUUCCUUUUUUUUAAAGGGAGAAAGUCCCCCUUUUUCUCGUAAUUCGAAGCUACGAGCUCAAAAGUCACUCCGUAUUUUUUCCCCCUUUUCCAACCCCAGCACCAGAAAGUCUCCAGCAGCCCCGAGAUGUCCAGCUCCAAGAAGAAGCAGGAGAAGGAGGAGAAGGUGGAGGAGAAACGACCGGAGAGCGGCAAGAAAUCCAAAAAGGAGAAGAAGAAAAAGAAGAAGAAGAAACACAAGAAGGAGAAGAAGAAGGACAAGCACCACAAGAGGGAUGCUUCCCCCUCGUCUUCCGAUUCUUCUCCGGAGCGGGAUGAGAGGCACCACCGAAGGAAAACCCAGCAGCGCCCCAAGACCUCGCGUCACGGCGGGCGGCGGCGGCGGCACGACACGGAUUCCUCUGCCAGCAGCCGGGAUUCGGGCCGGAGCCCCUCGCCCCGUCCUGCCCGUCGGAGGAGCCGGAGCCGCGACGGCCGCGGUCACCACCCGUCCCCGCGCCGCAAGGGGAGGAAGAGGAGCAGGAGCCGGUCCCCUCCGUCCCGCGGGGUCCGACAACGCCACGACACCGAUUCCGAGGACUGAGAGGGAACCUACGGAGCUUUGGUUUGGUUGGUUGGUUGGUUUGUUUUUUUUUUCCCAGAGAGAUGUCACGCAGGCUAGAUAUUUUUUUAAGGUUAUUAAAUUAAAAACGCCGCAGCUUUGCGGUUGCCGGGGUUGAGCCCAGCGAAGGGCAUUCGGUUUUGCGGUGCCAGCUGCCCCUCCCCUGCCCGCAGCUCUUGCUCUUCAAGCUGGGGUGGCACCAGCAGCUCCCGCCGGGGGUGGGUCCCAUCCGUGGAGGCACCCGGGCACCCUUCUCGCUUCCUGGAUCCAUCCAUCCCGGUGGGAUUUAGCUCGGAGGACGGUGUGAGGUGGGUGCUGGCGCUGGGACGGGCCCGGCUGCGACGCUGGAAAUGCUGCGGAUGCCUCGGGUUUGUGUAAAGAGACUUUGGAUGCAGUUAUUAUGAUGAUGAUGAUGAUGAGUUUUUUUAAGUAUCUUCUUUCAGUGCCCUCGAGCAGCUGCCAGCGAAGCAGCUGGAGGGGACCUUCUUUCCUCCAAACCCUCCCUGAAGUCCAUCAGCCGCAAAAUAAAACCGGGGGUUUGUGCGCUGCCGGGAGGGUU
This 2077-nucleotide long non-coding RNA is filed under the name Calidris pygmaea (Spoon-billed sandpiper). Its description in RNAcentral is "lncRNA (ENSCPGG00000012975.1)". The record is from RNAcentral. Lineage: Eukaryota; Metazoa; Chordata; Aves; Charadriiformes; Scolopacidae.